This 253-nucleotide ribosomal RNA is filed under the name uncultured bacterium. RNAcentral describes it as "partial 16S ribosomal RNA". It matches the Rfam family "Bacterial small subunit ribosomal RNA", at positions 524 to 776 of the family's 1533-position model. The record is from RNAcentral.
GACAGAGGGUGCAAACGUUGUUCGGAAUUACUGGGCGUAAAGCGCGUGUAGGCUGCUUCGAAAGUCGGAUGUGAAAGCCCUGGGCUCAACCUAGGAAGUGCAUUCGAAACUUCGAAGCUGGAGUCCUGGAGAGGAAGGCGGAAUUCUCGGUGUAGAGGUGAAAUUCGUAGAUAUCGAGAGGAACACCGGUGGCGAAGGCGGCCUUCUGGACAGUGACUGACGCUGAGACGCGAAAGCGUGGGGAGCAAAAGGG